AAGACGCCAAGGUGAUGGCACCCGAACUCCCGUUCCUCCUGGGCGUUUCUUCUCCAAAUCCAAAGUCAGGGUCCAAGACUGCUGCGAUGCAUCAGCCCCGCCCCUCGUAUCCCAUCCUGAGGAGGCGGAAAUGUUCAGGUCCUUGUCUUAAAGCAAGGGAAACAGCUCUUAUUCAAAGGAACUAGAAGCCUCUCCCUCAGUGGUGGGGAGAUAACCAGGAGCUGUUUUCUGGGGGAAUUGUGGGAUGUGCCCUUGGGGGCCCAAGAAAACUGAAGGAAGAUGCUCCAGACCAGUAACUACAGCCUGGUGCUCUCUCUGCAGUUCCUGCUGCUGUCCUAUGACCUCUUUGUCAAUUCCUUCUCAGAACUGCUCCGAAAGGCUCCUGUCGUCCAGCUCGUACUCUUCAUCAUCCAGGAUAUUGCAGUCCUCUUCAACAUCAUCAUCAUUUUCCUCAUGUUCUUCAACACCUUCGUCUUCCAGGCUGGCCUGGUCAACCUCCUGUUCCAUAAGUUCAAAGGGACCAUCAUCCUGACAGCUGUGUACUUUGCCCUCAGCAUCUCCCUUCAUGUCUGGGUCAUGAACUUACGCUGGAAAAACUCCAACAGCUUCAUAUGGACAGAUGGACUUCAAGCGCUGUUUGUAUUCCAGAGACUAGUUACAGGGCUUUGGCUCCUGGGUCUAAGAAGGACACCAACUCCUGCUAAAUAUUAAACACUGACAGCAAUUGAAGCCCCACCUUCAGGCCGUAUAGAAGAUGCUGAUCAGAGUAAACUGCGUUCUUGAAGCACAGGGCUGGAAAUUAAAGCUAUUCAACUCUUCAAGGCCCAGGGCCUACCAAGGAAGAGUAAAGACAGAGUUUCACCAUGUUGGCUAGGCUGGUCUUGAACUCCUGACCUUGGGUGAUCCGCUUGUCUCAACCUCCCAAAAUGCUGGGAUUACAGGUGUGAGCCACCACACCCAGCCUUGGAAACUCCUAUAAUUCUGAUAUGAUUUAGUGUACAUUAUCAGUAAUAAUUUUAAUUAUUCUGUUAAAUUAUUGUGUGCCACAGAGGUAACAAAUUUCCUUGUCAAUUUUGUCUUUGACUAUGGCUGCCCUAAAACUUUUUGUCAUCCAUGGACAAUUAUUGUUUUGUUUUGGUCCUGUUUAGAAGACGGUUUUAUGGUCAGCUAUAAAACUCUAGGAAGGGUGCGGUGGCUCAUGCCUGUAAUCCCAGCACUUUGGGAGGCCAAGAUGGAUGGAUCAUGAGGUCAGGAGAUUGAGACUAUCCUGGGCAAUAAAGUGUAACCCCAUCUCUACGAAAAACAUGAAAAUUAGCUGGGUGUGGCAGCACAUGCCUGUAAUCCCAGCUACUCAAGAGGAUGAGGCAGGAGAAUCACUUGAAUCUGGCAGACAGAAGUUGCAGUGAGCCAAGAUCUCGCCACUGAACUCCAGCUUGGCAACAGAGCCAGAUUCCAUUUCAAAAAAAAAAAAAACAACAACAAAAAACUCAUAACAGGUGCUCUUGAAUACAGGUUUCUGAUAACUUUGGAGAUUGUGGCAUCCAAAUAGAGAAAAAACGUUCAGAACUCAUGGAGAACUGAAAUGUUCAUGAAAAUCAAGCAGAACAGGAAUUAGGAGUCUAAUAGGAGUCUGAAGUAAUCUUUUUAACUUUAUGCCUAAAAUGUUGCUGAUCCUUUGUUUUGUUUUUCAGAGUCAAGAAAAUGUUUAAGCUAUUUAUACAGCUUUUAACAAUUGAGUAAAGUAUAUGAACUAAACAUGGAGCAUAUUUGUUUUCCUGGUUUCUCCAGAAUUUGAAAACUAUUUGUGAGUAUUCUUUUUUUUUCUUUUUGAGAUGGAGUUUCACUCUUGUUACCCAGGCUGGAGUGCAAUGGUGCAAUCUCAGCUCACUGCAACCUCUGUUUCCUGUUUCAAGUGAGUCUCCUGCCUCAGCCUCCCAAGUAGCUGGGAUUACAGAUGCCCACCACCAUGCCCAGCUAAUUUUUUGUGUUUUUAGUAGAGACAGUUUCACCAUGUUGGCCACACUGGUCUCGAAUUCCUGACCUCAUGCGAUCCACCUGCCUCGGCUUCCCAAAGUGCUGGGAUUACAGGUGUGAGCCACCUUGUCCAGCUGUGAGUAUUCUUAACUUAUGACAAUACAGUUAUUUGCAUAUGUAUAAUAAGAAUCUGUUAUUAUUUGUAACAGAAUACAAUUGGAGAAACUGGUUAUUUUACCAAGGCUUUUCUUUAAGGAAUCAAACUUGACUUUAUGGAGCCAAUAAAAGCCCCAUGGGAAAACUUGCCCCAUACUUUGUCCACACAGCCCCUGUACAAGGUUCCUGACCCGAAGCAAGUAAAGAAUGUCACUUUCUGACAGGCCCAGGAACCCCAAGUUUAUCUUGUGGAACCUCAAGAGGAGAGGAGCAUGCAACUGAUAGGUAUGUGAUGGCACAAUUCAUGGCUGCACUCGGCUUUUAAAAAGUUUUAUCUGAGAUUCUUUUUAUGAAACUAAGUUCCAUCAAAGUCACUUUAAAAGCCUAUGUAAAAAAUAAUUAGGCCGGGUGCGGUGGCUCAUGCCUGAAAUCCCAGCACUUUGGGAGGCCAAGGCAGGUGGAUCACCUGAGGUCAGGAGUUCAAGACCAGCCUGGCCAACAUGGUGAAACACUGUCUGUACUAAAAAUACAAAAAUUAGCCGGGCACUGUAGUGGGCGCCUGUAAUCCCAGCUACUAGGCACUUGAGCCUAGGAGGCAGAGGUUGCAGUGAGCUGAGAUCGUGUCACUGCACUACAGCCUGGACGACAGAGCAAGAUUCUGUCUCAAAAAAAAAAAAAAUUACUCCGCCAGCCACAGUGACUCAUGCCUGUAAUCCCAGCACUUUGAGAGGCCGAGGUGGGUAGAUCAACUGAGGUCAAGUGUUCAAAAGCAGCCUAGACAACAUGGUGAAACCUCAUCUCUACUAAAAAUACAAAAUGUAGCCAGGCAUGGUGGUGCAUGCCUGCAAUCCCAGCUACUCGGUAGGCUGAGGUGGGAGAAUUGCUUGAACCUGGGAGGCAGAGGCUGCAGUGAGCUGAGAUUGUGCCACUGCACUCCAGCCUGGGCAACAGAGCGAGACUCCAUCUCAAAAAAAAAGAAUGUAAUAAAUCGUCUGUUAUCUACCUUUGACCUGGAAGCCCCCUCCUCUGCUUAGAGUUGUCCCACCUUUCUGGACCAAACCAAUGUACAUCUUACACAUACUGACUGACAUCUCAUGUCUCCCUAAAAUGUAUAAAACCAACCUGUGCACUGACCACCUUGAGCACGUGUUGUCAGGACCUCCUGAGGCUGUGUUACAGGUGUGUGUCCUCGACCUUGGCAAAAUAAACGUUCUAAAUUAACUGA
Non-coding RNA from Callithrix jacchus (white-tufted-ear marmoset), 3355 nucleotides. Lineage: Eukaryota; Metazoa; Chordata; Mammalia; Primates; Cebidae. The record is from RefSeq and is a predicted model, not a curated record.